RNAcentral lists this ribosomal RNA (497 nucleotides) under uncultured bacterium. RNAcentral describes it as "partial 16S ribosomal RNA". It matches the Rfam family "Bacterial small subunit ribosomal RNA", at positions 28 to 507 of the family's 1533-position model. The record is from RNAcentral.
GAUGAACGCUGGCGGCGUGCCUAAUACAUGCAAGUCGAGCGAACGGACGAGAAGCUUGCUUCUCUGAUGUUAGCGGCGGACGGGUGAGUAACACGUGGAUAACCUACCUAUAAGACUGGGAUAACUUCGGGAAACCGGAGCUAAUACCGGAUAAUAUUUUGAACCGCAUGGUUCAAAAGUGAAAGACGGUCUUGCUGUCACUUAUAGAUGGAUCCGCGCUGCAUUAGCUAGUUGGUAAGGUAACGGCUUACCAAGGCAACGAUGCAUAGCCGACCUGAGAGGGUGAUCGGCCACACUGGAACUGAGACACGGUCCAGACUCCUACGGGAGGCAGCAGUAGGGAAUCUUCCGCAAUGGGCGAAAGCCUGACGGAGCAACGCCGCGUGAGGGAUGAGGGUCUUCGGAUCGUAAAACUCUGUUAUUAGGGAAGAACAUAUGUGUAAGUAACUGUGCACAUCUUGACGGUACCUAAUCAGAAAGCCACGGCUAACUACGUG